Molecule: ribosomal RNA, 1390 nt
Filed under: uncultured organism
Description: bacterial SSU rRNA
Rfam family: Bacterial small subunit ribosomal RNA
Source: RNAcentral
GCGGCAGGCUUACACAUGCAAGUCGAGGGGUAACGACUCCGUCUUCGGAUGGAGGUCGACGACCGGCGCACGGGUGAGUAACGCGUAUGCAACCUACCUUUUACAGGAGGAUAGCCCAGAGAAAUUUGGAUUAAUACUCCAUAGUACUAAUGAAUCACCUGGUUUAUUAGUUAAAACUCCGGUGGUAAAAGAUGGGCAUGCGUGUCAUUAGCUAGUUGGUAAGGUAACGGCUUACCAAGGCGAAGAUGACUAGGGGUUCUGAGAGGAAGAUCCCCCACACUGGUACUGAGACACGGACCAGACUCCUACGGGAGGCAGCAGUGAGGAAUAUUGGUCAAUGGGUGAGAGCCUGAACCAGCCAUGCCGCGUGAAGGAAGACUGCCCUAUGGGUUGUAAACUUCUUUUCUGCAGGAAGAAAUCACUCCACGUGUAGGGUGUUGCCGGUACUGCAGGAAUAAGCAUCGGCUAACUCCGUGCCAGCAGCCGCGGUAAUACGGAGGAUGCAAGCGUUAUCCGGAUUUAUUGGGUUUAAAGGGUGCGUAGGCGGGCUUGUAAGUCAGUGGUGAAAUGCUGUGGCUUAACCAUAGAAUUGCCAUUGAAACUGCAAGUCUUGAGUACAGUUGAGGUGGGCGGAAUGAGUAAUGUAGCGGUGAAAUGCAUAGAUAUUACUCAGAACUCCGAUUGCGUAGGCAGCUUGCUAAACUGUAACUGACGCUGAUGCACGAAAGCGUGGGGAGCGAACAGGAUUAGAUACCCUGGUAGUCCACGCUGUGAACGAUGAGCACUGGUUGUUGGCAAUACACCGUCAGCGACUGAGCGAAAGUAUUAAGUGCUCCACCUGGGGAGUACGUCGGCAACGAUGAACUCAAAGGACUUGACGGGGGCCCGCACAAGCGGAGGAACAUGUGGUUUAAUUCGAUGAUACGCGAGGAACCUUACCUGGGCUUAAAUGUAGAGUGCAUUGCUUGGAAACAGGCAUUUUCUUCGGAACUCUUUACAAGGUGCUGCAUGGUUGUCGUCAGCUCGUGCCGUGAGGUGUCGGGUUAAGUCCCAUAACGAGCGCAACCCCUAUUGUUAGUUACCAGCACGUAAUGGUGGGGACUCUAGCAAGACUGCCGGUGUAAACCGUGAGGAAGGUGGGGAUGACGUCAAAUCAGCACGGCCCUUAUGUCCAGGGCUACACACGUGUUACAAUGGCAAGUACAAAGAGCAGCCACCUGGCGACAGGGCGCUAAUCUCAAAAGCUUGCCUCAGUUCGGAUCGAAGUCUGCAACUCGACUUCGUGAAGGUGGAUUCGCUAGUAAUCGCGCAUCAGCCAUGGCGCGGUGAUACGUUCCCGGGCCUUGUACACACCGCCCGUCAAGCCAUGGAAGCCGGGGUACCUGAAGUC